RNAcentral lists this ribosomal RNA (560 nucleotides) under uncultured bacterium. RNAcentral describes it as "bacterial SSU rRNA". It matches the Rfam family "Bacterial small subunit ribosomal RNA", at positions 337 to 917 of the family's 1533-position model. The record is from RNAcentral.
UCCUACGGGAGGCAGCAGUGGGGAAUCUUGCACAAUGGAGGAAACCCUGAUGCAGCCAUGCCGCGUGAGUGAAGAAGGCCCUUGGGUUGUAAAGCUCUUUCAUCGGGGAAGAAAACGACUGUACCCAAACCCGAAAGUCCAGAUAUCUUCCUGCCAACAACCACGGGCUUACUCCGGGACCUCACGUACUUCGGAAUUACUGGGCUUAAAGUUUUCCUAAGUGGUUGAAAAUAUUGGUGGUGAAAUCGGCUAGCUUAACUCGUUGUCUGCCAUCCAGGCUUUUCCUCUAAACUAUGACAGAAGAUGUCAAACUUUAUUGUGUGAAAGUAAAGUUCAAAUAUCUGUGUAACAAUACCAUUUGCAAAGGUCGCUUUGAGGAUCAUUGCUGACAGUGGCCAUCUAGACCGUGGGUAACACUGAGGAUUAAAUACCCUCGUAGUCCAUGCGAUUAAAUAUGUGUGUUAUCCGUUGGAAAUUUAUUUUCAAUGUCCCAUCGAGUGCGAUAAACACUUUGUCUGGGGAGUACGGCCGCAAGGUUACCGCUCGGAUAAUUUGGCCGC